Magallana angulata is the source of this 2046-nucleotide long non-coding RNA. RefSeq lists it as uncharacterized. The record is from RefSeq and is a predicted model, not a curated record. The transcript has 3 exons. Lineage: Eukaryota; Metazoa; Mollusca; Bivalvia; Ostreida; Ostreidae.
CAUUUUGUGUAUGUACUGACAGUUGGCAGUACUUCAGAGGUAGAGUAAGUACCAUAUUGUAUAUGUACUGACAGGUGGCAGUAUGUCAGAGGUAGAGUUUGUACCAUAUUGUGGAUAUACUGACAGUUGGCAGUACUUCAGAGAUAGAGUAAGUGCCAUAUUGUGUAUGUACUGACAGUUGGCAGUACGUCAGAGGUAGAGUAAGUGCCAUAUUGUGUAUGUACUGACAGUUGGCAGUACUACAGUGGUAGUUGGCAGUAUGUACUUCAGAGGUAGAAUAAGUACCACAAUGUGGAUAUACUGACAGUUGGCAGUACUUCAGAGUUAGAGUUAGAACUAUAUUGACAACUAUACUUCUAAAUUACAGAAAGCACUAGUACUAUUGUGGAAGUACUGACAGUACUGUAGAGACGGAGUAAGAACUAGUACUAUGUUUGAUGAACUGACAGUACUUUCAAGAUAGACAAAUACCCUUGUGGAAAUACUGAAAGCAGUGCUUCAGAUUUAGAGAAAGGACUUGUACCAUUAUGGAUGCACUGACAGUUGGCAGUACCUUAGAGUUAGAGAAAGUACUUUACCAGUGUAGAUAUACUGACAGUUGUUAGUACUUCAUAGGUAAGGUAAUACUCUGUACCAUUCCUAAUGUCCAUACAGUUGAGGUAGAGAAAGUAAUAGUAUUAUUGUAGUGAUAAUGAAAAUUGGAAAUAUUUCAGAGAUAAUCUGGAUCUCGAGAUAUAGUAAAAAAUACAUCAAAGGUAAAGGGACUACGAUGUUGGGUGUCAUGUUAGUUGACAGUAUUUCAAAGGUAGAAUAAGUACCAUUGUGGAUGAACUGAAAUUUACCAUACUUAACAUGUAAAGCAAUAUCACUAUGUAUGCACUUACAGUUGACAGUAGGUAAGGGGUCAAGAAAUGUCCAUUGUCAAUGUAGUGGAGUUGAUAGUUCAUCACAAGUAGAUUUAGUUCCAAAUGUCGAUGCACUGAUAUUAUACAGGACUUUAAAGGUAAAUAAAUUUCUAACAUCAUUGUGAGUGUACCGACAAUGGACAGUAUUUCAUGGGUGGAGUUAGUAUCAUUAUGGAACUACUGACGGUUGACAGUACUUCUGAGGUAGAGUAAGUACCAUUGUGGAUGUACUGACUGUUGAAAUACUUCAGAUGUAAAAGUUCUAUAGUACCAUUGUGGAUGAACUUACCGUUGGGAGUACCAGUAAAUUUAGUACUAGUUACCCGGUAAGUUGUAGAGGUACUGACAUUUGACAGUACAUCAGAGGUAGAGUAAGUUCCAUUAUGGAUAAACUGACAGUUGGCAGUAAUUAAGAGGAAGUUCAAGUAUCAUUUUGGCAGUUGGCAGCACUUCAUAGGCAGAGUAAGUACAAAUUUGUGUGUACAAAAUAAAUAGUUGUUAGUAUUUCAGAUGUAGAGUAAUAUCAAUGUGGAUGUACUGACAGUUGGUAGUACUUCAGAUAUAAAGUACCAUUAUGUUUAGGUACACAAUUGGCAGUAUUUAAAAGUUAACUACUGUUCCUAUUUAAGCAUGUGGGUGUUGCUAUCAUUUCUUACUUUAAAAUACAUUCAAUUUAAAAAUGCUAUCUAUUGAAGCAAUUGUUUCAAGUUGUAAGGUGUAGGUAUGCUACAAAGACUAAAACAGUUCAGGCAUGAGUUUUACUAAGCUUCUUAUCUUACGCAAAAAUAUUAUUACUUAAGAACUUCGUAAGAUUUAACCUUAAUUACGUAUUUCAAUUUCUUUUGAACAUAAUUUUUUCGAUUGAUAAUUUUGUUUCAUUAAUCAUAUUCUUUCUAUCAAAGGAAUGACAAGUAUCAACAACAGCACAUACAAAGACAUGAAUUUUGAGAGCGAGUCUAGUCAAAGUCAAGAAAGGCCAAGAAAACAGACAAGGGUGCAAAGGAAAGAAAAUGAAGUUCCAGUACACAUAUCACAGCUGUUAUCUAUGGAAGAGGAGAAGAUUUCUAAACUGGAGACAUACAGAUCCAGAAAAAUCAAGAUUCUUGAAGAAAUGCUUGAACUACAACGCAGAAGCACCAUU